UGGGGAAUUUUGGACAAUGGGCGCAAGCCUGAUCCAGCCAUGCCGCGUGCGGGAAGAGGGCCUUCGGGUUGUAAACCGCUUUUGUCAGGGAAGAAAUCUUCUGAGUUAAUACCUCGGGAGGAUGACGGUACCUGAAGAAUAAGCACCGGCUAACUACGUGCCAGCAGCCGCGGUAAUACGUAGGGUGCAAGCGUUAAUCGGAAUUACUGGGCGUAAAGCGUGCGCAGGCGGUUUUGUAAGACAGAGGUGAAAUCCCCGGGCUCAACCUGGGAACUGCCUUUGUGACUGCAAGGCUUGAGUGCGGCAGAGGGGGGAUGGAAUUCCGCGUGUAGCAGUGAAAUGCGUAGAUAUGCGGAGGAACACCGAUGGCGAAGGCAAUCCCCUGGGCCUGCACUGACGCUCAUGCACGAAAGCGUGGGGAGC
Molecule: ribosomal RNA, 423 nt
Filed under: uncultured bacterium
Lineage: Bacteria
Description: partial 16S ribosomal RNA
Rfam family: Bacterial small subunit ribosomal RNA
Source: RNAcentral